Molecule: ribosomal RNA, 905 nt
Filed under: uncultured bacterium
Lineage: Bacteria
Description: bacterial SSU rRNA
Rfam family: Bacterial small subunit ribosomal RNA
Source: RNAcentral
AUAGCGCUGACUGUGUGCCGGUUUCGCCCUUGGAGUUUGAUCCUGGCUCAGGACGAACGCUGGCGGCGUGCUUAACACAUGCAAGUCGAGCGGAAAGGCCCUUCGGGGUACUCGAGCGGCGAACGGGUGAGUAACACGUGAGUAACCUGCCCCAGACUUUGGGAUAACCCUCGGAAACGGGGGCUAAUACCGAAUAUGACUGCUGAUCGCAUGGUUGGUGGUGGAAAGUUUUUCGGUUUGGGAUGGACUCGCGGCCUAUCAGCUUGUUGGUGGGGUAAUGGCCUACCAAGGCGACGACGGGUAGCCGGCCUGAGAGGGCGACCGGCCACACUGGGACUGAGACACGGCCCAGACUCCUACGGGAGGCAGCAGUGGGGAAUAUUGCACAAUGGGCGGAAGCCUGAUGCAGCGACGCCGCGUGAGGGAUGACGGCCUUCGGGUUGUAAACCUCUUUCAGCAGGGACGAAGCGCAAGUGACGGUACCUGCAGAAGAAGCGCCGGCCAACUACGUGCCAGCAGCCGCGGUAAGACGUAGGGCGCGAGCGUUGUCCGGAUUUAUUGGGCGUAAAGAGCUCGUAGGCGGCUUGUCGCGUCGACUGUGAAAUUUCAGGGCUCAACUCUGACAUUGCAGUCGAUACGGGCAGGCUAGAGUUCGGUAGGGGAGACCGGAAUUCCUGGUGUAGCGGUGAAAUGCGCAGAUAUCAGGAGGAACACCGGUGGCGAAGGCGGGUCUCUGGGCCGAUACUGACGCUGAGGAGCGAAAGCGUGGGGAGCGAACAGGAUUAGAUACCCUGGUAGUCCACGCUGUAAACGUUGGGCGCUAGGUGUGGGGGACCUCUCCGGUCUUCUGCGCCGCAGCUAACGCAUUAAGCGCCCCCCCUGGGGAGUACGGCCGCAAGGCUAAA